GAUGAACGCUGGCGGCGUGCCUAAUACAUGAAAGUCGAGCGAACAGACGAGGAGCUUGCUCCUCUGACGUUAGCGGCGGACGGGUGAGUAACACGUGGAUAACCUACCUAUAAGACUGGGUUAACUUCGGGAAACCGGAGCUAAUACCGGAUAAUAUAUUGAACCGCAUGGUUCAAUAGUGAAAGACGGUUUUGCUGUCACUUAUAGAUUGAUCCGCGCCGCAUUAGCUAGUUGGUAAGGUAACGGCUUACCAAGGCAACGAUGCGUCGCCGACCUGAUCGUGUGAUAGGCCAAACUGUAACUGAGAUAAGUUCCAUACUCAUACGGCAUGCAGCAUUAGGGAAUCUUACGCCAUUGGCGAAAGCUUGACGGAGCAACGCCGCGUGAGUGAUGAAGGUCUUCGGAUCGGAAUACUCUGUUAUUAGGGAAGAACAAAUGUGUAAUUAACGAUGCACGUCUUGACGGUACCUAAUCAGAAAGCUACGGCUAACUACGUG
This 497-nucleotide ribosomal RNA is filed under the name uncultured bacterium. RNAcentral's name for it is "partial 16S ribosomal RNA". It matches the Rfam family "Bacterial small subunit ribosomal RNA", at positions 28 to 507 of the family's 1533-position model. The record is from RNAcentral.